CGGACGGGUGAGUAAUGUCUGGGAAACUGCCUGAUGGAGGGGGAUAACUACUGGAAACGGUAGCUAAUACCGCAUAACGUCGCAAGACCAAAGAGGGGGACCUUAGGGCCUCUUGCCAUCGGAUGUGCCCAGAUGGGAUUAGCUAGUAGGUGGGGUAAAGGCUCACCUAGGCGACGAUCCCUAGCUGGUCUGAGAGGAUGACCAGCCACACUGGAACUAAGACACGGUCCAG
This 232-nucleotide ribosomal RNA is filed under the name uncultured bacterium. RNAcentral describes it as "partial 16S ribosomal RNA". It matches the Rfam family "Bacterial small subunit ribosomal RNA", at positions 99 to 334 of the family's 1533-position model. The record is from RNAcentral.